UAAGAAGAGUCUUCCUGAGAAGAUUCCACUGGUAGGAAGCUGUUUUCCCUCUCUGUAUACAAAAGGACCAUUUCAAAGGGAGGAUAAAACCGAAUAUUAAAGUUGUUAGAAUUCAGAUUUCCUGUUAUAUUUCUGGAUGACUUUUGGGAUUUCAGAACAGUGAAGGCAGGAAACAGAAUAGUUGAAGAAGUAAUGAAGAAAACUACUUUGGCUUUAGGGAAUCCCUAGCUCAAAAUCAGAAAUAUUUACUUCAGUUUAAACUAGAAUGUUGUCAACAUAAUUUAAUGUUUGGAACCUUUUUUAUCCGACAGAUACAUAGUUGAAAACUUUCCAUGUUUUUGAUGGGAUGUUUUUGUUUUAACAUCCACAAACUGUUUGAGGUUAGGCAGUUGACACCAUCACAGUGGCUCAUUAUUUGGUAGCCUGUGCCUCUGUCAGUGACUGCUGAGCUCCCUGGACUGUAAAAGCUGUGGUCACUGUUGGUCUGACUGAGGACUGCUAUGUCUGGGGCAGAACCAUUUUUGGCAGAUGGCAGUCAGGAGUUGUUUCCCUGUGAAGUCUGUGGAAGACGCUUUGCAGCAGAUGUUCUGAAAAGACAUGGACCAAUAUGUAGAAAACUCUUCCACAAAAAGCGUAAACUUUUCAAUUCCUUGAAGCAGAGAUUACAGGGCAUGGACAUUCCCACUGUAAGGAAGGCCCCUCCAUCCAAGUCUCAACCUGUGAGGAAAUCUAACUGGAGACAACAACAUGAAGAUUUCAUUAACGCAAUUCAAUCCGUAAAGCAGUGCACCCUAGCUGUGAGAGAAGGCCGGCCUCUGCCUCCUGCACCCACUCCGAGUGUCAAUCCAGAUUAUAUCCAAUGCCCAUAUUGUAUGAGGAGAUUUAAUGAAACCGCAGCCGGUCGGCAUAUUAAUUUCUGCAAAGAUCAGUCUUCUCGCCGAGUCUUUGAUCCAGCUCAGACUGCAGCUAAAUUGGCUUCCAGAGCUCAGGGUAGGGCUCAGGCGAGUCCCAGGAAAGAACCAACUGUCACUCGUGCCGUGGGAGCUUUGCUACAGAGCAGGCCCAUGGAGGCAAAGACUGAGGUCUCAACCAAGUCCACUUCAUUCUGUGGUGGCUGGAGAAGAUACUUCGUAUGAAAUAUAUCUUUUUGAAAAAAUGUAUUAAGUCUUAACUCACGGCCUAACAUGUGGUCCAUUCUGGAAACUGUCCUGUGUGCACCUGAGAAGAAUGUGCACGCUGCUGCUGUUGGAUAGAGUGUUCCGCACAGGGAUCAGCCAUGGACCCUGCUUCUGGAGCAAACAGACAAGGAUUUAGUAAAUCUUCUAAAAAGGAGUAAGUCCUAGAAGCCAGGUAAGAAAAAAAAAAUCCCAUCCCUAAUGCAGGUGCUGCUGAUCAUAUAAUAUGCAGGUACAGUUACUAAACCUUUGAGAGUAAGUGUUCAUAGCAGGCAAACCUUGAACUGGAGUAACAAAAUAUAUGCCCUUAAAACUGUCUUGUUAAUGGUGGGUGCAGUGGUCACACUUGAAGUCCUAGCACUGUAGGAGGUUGAGGCAGGAGAUUGGAAAUUCAAGCCCAGUCUGGGCAAUUUACCAGCUUAGAAAUGGAAGGAAGGAAAGAAGGAAGGAAGGAAGGAAGGAAGGAAGGAAGGAAGGAAAAGAAAGAAAAGAAAGGCUGGUAGACACAACUCAGCAGUACAAAGGCUGUGGGCUCAAUCUUCAGAAUCACAAAAAGAAAAGAAAAUUAUUUUGUUAAACAUACAUUUUGAACAGAUGAUUAGCUUUUGAUUCAUAAUAGGAAAGGGAAUGAUUCCUCACUCUUGGAGUUUCUGCCUUGUCUCUUUUUCCAAACCACCCCCCCACCAAAGGACAGUUUUCUGAGAUUGAGAAUUGUUUACAACACACUUAUUGAUCUAAUGAAAUGAAGCCUGUUUUCUAACAUUCAGUGCGGAUACAGUGAAGUUCUAAAACAAUGACCUUUUUUUCUGCUUUCAGGCUGGCUCUCUGAAACUCUGAAGCCUGGUAAUCCCACCCAGGAAUGCCACCUCAGGGAAAGGAGGAAAGGAAGUGUCUGUCUUUUCCGGUCACCACUCCGAUCUUCAGUUUUCCUCCUUAUUUAUUCUUUUUUGAAAAAAAGUUAUUAAAUACAUCAACCUUUUA
Heterocephalus glaber (naked mole-rat) is the source of this 2156-nucleotide RNA transcript. It is a transcript of the gene named zinc finger C2HC-type containing 1B, with no coding region annotated. NCBI's taxonomy places the organism in Eukaryota, Metazoa, Chordata, Mammalia, Rodentia, Bathyergidae. The record is from RefSeq and is a predicted model, not a curated record.